AUUGAACGCUGGCGGCAGGCUUAACACAUGCAAGUCGAGCGGGGGAAGGUAGCUUGCUACCGGACCUAGCGGCGGACGGGUGAGUAAUGCUUAGGAAUCUGCCUAUUAGUGGGGGACAACAUCUCGAAAGGGAUGCUAAUACCGCAUACGUCCUACGGGAGAAAGCAGGGGAUCUUCGGACCUUGCGCUAAUAGAUGAGCCUAAGUCGGAUUAGCUAGUUGGUGGGGUAAAGGCCUACCAAGGCGACGAUCUGUAGCGGGUCCGAGAGGAUGAUCCGCCACACUGGGACUGAGACACGGCCCAGACUCCUACGGGAGGCAGCAGUGGGGAAUAUUGGACAAUGGGGGGAACCCUGAUCCAGGCAUGCCGCGUGUGUGAAGAAGGCCUUAUGGUUGUAAAGCACUUUAAGCGAGGAGGAGGCUACUUUAGUUAAUACCUAGAGAUAGUGGACGUUACUCGCAGAAUAAGCACCGGCUAACUCUGUGCCAGCCGCCGCAGUAA
Molecule: ribosomal RNA, 501 nt
Filed under: uncultured bacterium
Lineage: Bacteria
Description: partial 16S ribosomal RNA
Rfam family: Bacterial small subunit ribosomal RNA
Source: RNAcentral